Molecule: ribosomal RNA, 395 nt
Filed under: uncultured bacterium
Lineage: Bacteria
Description: partial 16S ribosomal RNA
Rfam family: Bacterial small subunit ribosomal RNA
Source: RNAcentral
AUACGUAGGUGACAAGCGUUAUCCGGAUUUACUGGGCGUAAAGGGCGUGUAGGCGGUCUUGCAAGUCAGAAGUGAAAUUCCUGAGCUCAACUCGGGCGCUGCUUCUGAAACUGCAGGACUUGAGUGCUGGAGGGGAUAGCGGAAUUCCUAGUGGAGCGGUGAAAUGCGUAGAUAUUAGGAGGAACACCAGUGGCGAAGGCGACUUUCUGGACAGUAACUGACGCUGAGGUACGAAAGCGUGGGGAGCAAACAGGAUUAGAUACCCUGGUAGUCCACGCUGUAAACGAUGAGCACUAGGUGUCGGGCUAGCAAUAGUUCGGUGCCGCAGUUAACGCAAUAAGUGCUCCGCCUGGGGAGUACGCACGCAAGUGUGAAACUCAAAUGAAUUGACGGGG